Long non-coding RNA from Helicoverpa armigera (cotton bollworm), 517 nucleotides. RefSeq lists it as uncharacterized. Lineage: Eukaryota; Metazoa; Arthropoda; Insecta; Lepidoptera; Noctuidae. The record is from RefSeq and is a predicted model, not a curated record. The transcript has 2 exons.
AUAGGUAACUAGCUUUCCGCCCGCGGCUUCGCCCGCGUGGAAUUCGGUUAUAUUGCGGUAUAAAUCACAACUAUAAGAAAACUUCUCAUUCCCACGGAAAAAUCUAAGAAGCGCGAUGUAACGCUGGAUACGAUUAGUUGUUAAACCAAAACUGAAUGGUACACUAUAUUAUACGUUUUCCCUUGUGGAGCAAAAACAUGCAGAUUUUGGGCACUGGAAACCCGGGAACACGCUACAUAGAGCUGACCAUGCGAAAAACAAUGUUUUUCUAAGUGUACUCUAGCAACCCUUAGAGUUUGGCCUUGUGCUUUAUUAAUGGACACACAGCGCCAUCUACAAUCCAUCCAUCAAGCAAACAAUAUUUUUGUUUUCCCUCGGGAAUAUCUAUUUUUUUCGGGAUAAAAAGUACCCUAUUAUUUAAUCCGGACUUCUAACUUUACGUCUGCAAAAUUUCAAAGCAAUCGGUUCAGUAGUUACGGCGUGAAAGCGGAACAAACAAACAAACAAACAAACAAAC